GUACUGAUGAAGAGUCCCAUACUAGGGCGAAACGGCUAUCCAGUAC
RNAcentral lists this non-coding RNA (46 nucleotides) under Trichobilharzia regenti. The record is from RNAcentral. Lineage: Eukaryota; Metazoa; Platyhelminthes; Trematoda; Strigeidida; Schistosomatidae.